This 760-nucleotide ribosomal RNA is filed under the name uncultured Pelagibacterales bacterium. RNAcentral's name for it is "bacterial SSU rRNA". It matches the Rfam family "Bacterial small subunit ribosomal RNA", at positions 89 to 885 of the family's 1533-position model. The record is from RNAcentral. Lineage: Bacteria; Pseudomonadati; Pseudomonadota; Alphaproteobacteria; Candidatus Pelagibacterales.
UACUGAGUGGCGAACGGGUGAGUAUAAUGUAGGUAUCUGCCUUUUGGUUUGGAAUAACACGAGGAAACUUGUGCUAAUACCGGAUAAGCCUUCACAGGGAAAGUUUUAACGCCAAAAGAUGAGCCUGCACUUGAUUAGCUAGUUGGUAAGGUAAUGGCUUACCAAGGCUACGAUCAAUAGCUGUUCUUAGAGGAAGAUCAGCCACAUUGGGACUGAGACACGGCCCAAACUCCUACGGGAGGCAGCAGUGGGGAAUCUUGCACAAUGGGGGAAACCCUGAUGCAGCGAUGCCGCGUGAGUGAAGAAGGCCUUUGGGUUGUAAAGCUCUUUCGUCGGGGAAGAAAAUGACUGUACCCGAAUAAGAAGGUCCGGCUAACUUCGUGCCAGCAGCCGCGGUAAUACGAAGGGACCUAGCGUAGUUCGGAAUUACUGGGCUUAAAGAGCACGUAGGUGGUUAAAAAAGUUGGUGGUGAAAUCCCAAGGCUUAACCUUGGAACUGCCACCAAAACUUUUUAGCUAGAGUAUGAUUGAGGUAAGCGGAAUUUCUAGUGUAGAGGUGAAAUUCGUAGAUAUUAGAAAGAACACCAAUUGCGAAGGCAGCUUUCUGGAUCAUUACUGACACUGAGGUGCGAAAGCAUGGGUAGCGAAGAGGAUUAGAUACCCUCGUAGUCCAUGCCGUAAACGAUGUGUGCUAGACGUUGGGAAUUUAUUUCUCAGUGUCGCAGCAAAAGUGUUAAGCACACCGCCUGGGGGAGUACGA